RNAcentral lists this ribosomal RNA (252 nucleotides) under uncultured Bacteroidales bacterium. Its description in RNAcentral is "partial 16S ribosomal RNA". It matches the Rfam family "Bacterial small subunit ribosomal RNA", at positions 524 to 776 of the family's 1533-position model. The record is from RNAcentral. Lineage: Bacteria; Pseudomonadati; Bacteroidota; Bacteroidia; Bacteroidales.
UACGGAGGAUGCGAGCGUUAUCCGGAUUUAUUGGGUUUAAAGGGUGCGUAGGCGGGAUGCCAAGUCAGCGGUCAAAUACGGGGGCUCAACCUGCGUCCGCCGUUGAAACUGGCGUUCUUGAGUGGGCGAGAAGUACGCGGAAUGCGUGGUGUAGCGGUGAAAUGCAUAGAUAUAACUUAGAACACCGAUAGCGAAGGCAGCUUACCAGACUGAGUCUGACGCUGAUGCACGAGAGCAUGGGUAGCGAACAGG